GCAGUAGUAGCUUAGUGGCACAGCGCUUGCCUGGCAUGCAGGAGGUCCUGGGUUCAAUCUCCAGCGCCGCU
This 71-nucleotide transfer RNA is filed under the name Fukomys damarensis (Damara mole-rat). The stretch from base 7 to 65 matches the Rfam family "tRNA", at positions 7 to 64 of the family's 71-position model. Rfam says of the family: Transfer RNA (tRNA) molecules are approximately 80 nucleotides in length. Their secondary structure includes four short double-helical elements and three loops (D, anti-codon, and T loops). The record is from Rfam by way of RNAcentral. Lineage: Eukaryota; Metazoa; Chordata; Mammalia; Rodentia; Bathyergidae.